Molecule: non-coding RNA, 486 nt
Organism: Paramuricea clavata
Lineage: Eukaryota; Metazoa; Cnidaria; Anthozoa; Malacalcyonacea; Plexauridae
Source: the annotation of a GenBank genome assembly
CAACAACAACCACAACAACAACCACAACAACAACAACAACAACAACAACAACAACAACAACAACAACAACCACAACAACCACAACAACAACAACCACAACAACAACCACCACAACAACAACCACCACAACAACAACCACCACAACAACAACCACAACAACAACCACAACAACAACCACAACCACAACCACAACAACAACCACAACAACAACCACAACCACAACAACAACCACAACAACAACCACAACAACAACAACAACCACAACCACAACAACCACAACAACAACCACAACAACAACCACAACAACAACAACAACAACAACCACAACAACCACAACAACAACCACAACCACAACAACAACAACAACCACAACAACAACAACCACAACAACAACCACAACAACAACCACAACAACAACCACAACAACAACCACAACAACAACCACAACAACAACCACAACAACAACCACAACAACAACCACAACAA